RNAcentral lists this ribosomal RNA (247 nucleotides) under Heegeria tangirica. RNAcentral's name for it is "partial large subunit ribosomal RNA". It matches the Rfam family "Eukaryotic large subunit ribosomal RNA", at positions 1635 to 1879 of the family's 3401-position model. The record is from RNAcentral. Lineage: Eukaryota; Metazoa; Arthropoda; Insecta; Hemiptera; Alydidae.
CUCGUCGGGGUGACCCGAAAUGACCCGGAGAAGCCGUAGGGAGGUCCGGGGAGAGUUGUCUCUUCUCUAUAAGCGUUCGAGUUCCCUGGAAGCCUCUAGGAGGGAGAUAGGGUUUGGAACGCGAAGAGCACCGCACUUACGGCGGUGUCCGGAUCUUCCCCUCGGACCUUGAAAAUCCGGGCGAGGGCCACGAGGAACACCGCGCCGGCUCGUACCCAUAUCCGCAGCAGGUCUCCAAGGUGAAUAG